RNAcentral lists this long non-coding RNA (499 nucleotides) under Salvia miltiorrhiza (redroot sage). RNAcentral describes it as "long non-coding RNA (SMIL_LNC009139)". Lineage: Eukaryota; Viridiplantae; Streptophyta; Magnoliopsida; Lamiales; Lamiaceae. The record is from RNAcentral.
UUAAGAUUCUUUUCAUAUCUGUUUUGACUUCAAAUAUAUUACAUUCUACCCUUCAAAUCAAAGAAUACAUCGAAGAUCAAGACGAGCUAAUUUUAUGAGAAGAAGGGAGGAUUGAAUCAAAAAGUCGAUCAAGACGAGCAAAGAUAAGAAGAGAAAUCACAAAAGGGUUAAUUUUUUCCUUCUCCAUAGAUCAGAUUAAUGAGAAGAAUUCACGUGUUUAUGAUUGGUUUCAAUUAUAUCUAAAAUUAAAUUCACAUGAUAACGAUGUUCUUAUACGGUGUUAGAUAUAUUUGGAAAUCUUUCGAUUCAGUAAAUUUUGUUCAAUCCAAAAGGCAAAUACUUGUGUGAGACCGGAUGUCAAUCGGGCCAACUCACCGGGUUUCAGACUAGCCCUAUCGGGUUACGGGUUAUUCAGGUACGAGCUAAUCGGGUUGAAAUUUUUUUUCGGUUAGAAACGCCAACUUCUUCAUCAACAAUUUUGGCAUUCCUCUUUGUAUGG